RNAcentral lists this ribosomal RNA (465 nucleotides) under uncultured bacterium. RNAcentral's name for it is "partial 16S ribosomal RNA". It matches the Rfam family "Bacterial small subunit ribosomal RNA", at positions 28 to 507 of the family's 1533-position model. The record is from RNAcentral.
GACGAACGCUGGCGGCGUGCUUAACACAUGCAAGUCGAACGGAAAGGCCCUGCUUGCAGGGUACUCGAGUGGCGAACGGGUGAGUAACACGUGGGUGAUCUGCCCUGCACUUCGGGAUAAGCCUGGGAAACUGGGUCUAAUACCGGAUAGGAGCCAUUUUUAGUGUGAUGGUUGGAAAGUUUUUUCGGUGUAGGAUGAGCUCGCGGCCUAUCAGCUUGUUGGUGGGGUAAUGGCCUACCAAGGCGGCGACGGGUAGCCGGCCUGAGAGGGUGGACGGCCACAUUGGGACUGAGAUACGGCCCAGACUCCUACGGGAGUCAGCAGUGGGGAAUAUUGCACAAUGGGCGCAAGCCUGAUGCAGCGACGCCGCGUGGGGGAUGACGGCCUUCGGGUUGUAAACUCCUUUCGCUAGGGACGAAGCUUUUUGUGACGGUACCUAGAGAAGAAGCACCGGCUAACUACGUG